This 468-nucleotide ribosomal RNA is filed under the name uncultured bacterium. RNAcentral's name for it is "partial 16S ribosomal RNA". It matches the Rfam family "Bacterial small subunit ribosomal RNA", at positions 28 to 507 of the family's 1533-position model. The record is from RNAcentral.
GACGAACGCUGGCGGCGUGCUUAACACAUGCAAGUCGAACGGAAAGGCCCUGCUUUUGUGGGGUGCUCGAGUGGCGAACGGGUGAGUAACACGUGAGUAACCUGCCCUUGACUUUGGGAUAACUUCAGGAAACUGGGGCUAAUACCGGAUAGGAGCUGCUGCUGCAGGGUGGGGGUUGGAAAGUUUCGGCGGUUGGGGAUGGACUCGCGGCUUAUCAGCUUGUUGGUGGGGUAGUGGCUUACCAAGGCUUUGACGGGUAGCCGGCCUGAGAGGGUGACCGGCCACAUUGGGACUGAGAUACGGCCCAGACUCCUACGGGAGGCAGCAGUGGGGAAUAUUGCACAAUGGGCGGAAGCCUGAUGCAGCAACGCCGCGUGCGGGAUGACGGCCUUCGGGUUGUAAACCGCUUUCGCCUGUGACGAAGCGUGAGUGACGGUAAUGGGUAAAGAAGCACCGGCUAACUACGUG